GACACAUUCAGUAGGAUCCCAGGAUUUACAACACAAUAGUUGACAGUAGGCUGCAUGCCCCUAUCACAUUUUUUUUUAAAAGUAGCAUUGAGAAAAUUCUUCAGAGAUGUGCAAAGUAAGCGUAUGUAAACUGAUUCUAACAGGUAAAAAAUGAUCAAAGGCUAUGCCGUCUAGCGUCAGAAAGAAAUGUAACAUGAAAGCAAUGUCCGCUCUAGCUCGUUGACAUUCAAUUGAAAGAACUGGCAAACAAAGGUAACAAAUAACUUUGAUACUCACGUAAUAUUCACCAUGCAAAAUUUCAUCAAAAAGCCACCACGCAGCAUCACACAUCACAAAAGACGAAAUCCCCAAGGUGAACGCCACUUCAACUUCUACACUGAGGAGAAGGCACUCAAGAUAGAUAUCCGUUCAUGUUGUCAGCAAGUGAUUCCAGACGUUUCAGCACCUGGGCAACAGUGCUGGACAGUGGAUUGCUGAAAGGGAAAACACCCACUUGGCUACACACUACAAGGCAACAGCAGACAUUAAGUCAAUCACAAAUGAUGGUGAAGAUGAAUAAAUCCUUUCCACACUACCCUAUCUGACAACAAUUGCAUGUUCCUGGCUCAUUCGAUCCCCACUCUAGGGACUGGGAAUCUAAUUAAAUUAAAAAUCACCUGUAUCACCCUUUUAGCGUAGAGACGUUUACAAACUUCCCUCUACCCCUACACACUAGGGCUGAAUAGUUAAAUCCCUCCACACUAAAAUAUUUAGCCACCUAGUGACAGCCCUUAGCAUCCAAGGACGACUGGACGGAACGGAUUGUCACCUAGCCCUGCCUGCAAUGGCUGUUUGAGAUUCUUCUCCUAUAAAAAACAAAAAAAAUAGGACAUGCCUAUAAAACUUUGGAAAAUAAAAAAAAAUCAUUAAAUGUACAAACAGAGUGAUUGAGAGAUGGUGGGAAUUUAUCUAUGUUCGUCGGCUUGUCGCCCACUGAAAUUUCGAAUGCGUGUUAAAACCAAGGUUUAAAACGGACCACGGUACCAUGAUAGCAGUAAAAUAAUUAUUCUUCAUAUUAUUAUCAUCGUCAUUAUGAACUAAGAUGGUGCACACUUAAACCUGUUUAUUGUGACCCAAAUGAGAACCUUUCAAUAGUAUCCUAUAAGUAUCCAACAAGUUGAAUGAAAAAUUUGAUAAUAUAGAUUUCCAGAAUAUAAUCUUAAAAUGUCA
This 1209-nucleotide long non-coding RNA is filed under the name Daphnia pulicaria. Its description in RNAcentral is "uncharacterized LOC124342329, transcript variant X2". The record is from RNAcentral. Lineage: Eukaryota; Metazoa; Arthropoda; Branchiopoda; Diplostraca; Daphniidae.